RNAcentral lists this long non-coding RNA (1700 nucleotides) under Monodelphis domestica (gray short-tailed opossum). RNAcentral describes it as "lncRNA (ENSMODG00000040727.1)". The record is from RNAcentral. Lineage: Eukaryota; Metazoa; Chordata; Mammalia; Didelphimorphia; Didelphidae.
UUUCAUUCCCUAGAUGGUACCAUGAAACUCUGUGACUUCCAUUGAGGGAUGGAGAAAUGGGCUGGCUUUUCUCCAUCCCAGGAUCAUGGCAACCAUUCUCAUGUGAGAGCCAGAGUAGAUGAACUUCACUAAGCCAGCAUGUGCCUGGGCCCUAGCUGCUUCUCCAACUUUAUCUAUUUCUUUUCCUUAAAAGUGAUUGAACACUAGCUUCAAAAUGGACAUAUCCUGACUUGGAGGUUAUUUUGUGGGUUCGAGAAUGUCCAUCUGGCACAGGUGACUGAUGGUGAGGGGAGUUUCAUCACCAAAGAAGAGGACCACCAGCAAGGGGAUGACUAAGAACUGCUUGGACAGUGCAGAGGCGAGGUGAGAUGUUACCUUGAGAAUUCAGUGUUCCCACAAACAGUAUUCUUGGGUUCAUGUCCUGAAUUUGAAGUACCAGGCUCCUUAAUAAUAGUUAUAUGUUAAAUUAUAACAUUUCAUUUUGUUAUACUAGCGAUGUCUAUUGUGAGACUUUUGUAACUUUUAGCAUUUUUUGUUGUGUGUAGAAAAUAAAUACUUCUUCAAUAACUGAUUCAUACUGUGAAUUGAGUACCUUUUUUGUGAGCCACAACUUAAGCAAUUUUCCCCUCUCAGUUGCUUGUGUGGGGUUAUAACAAGCCAAAGAAAAGGGACCCAAGUCCCCUCACAGAGACUUAGAAAAAUUAGAGAUACUACUUGUAACUUUGGAGAGAGAAGUUUCAGUGAAAUGAUGACAUCAGAAGUCAGAUUGUAACAAAGUGAACAAAGAGAAGAAGGAAAGCAGAUACAAUAAAAGUAUUCCAUUUUGGCCACAUUGUAAAGUAGGUGGUGUUUGGUGGUAUAAUUAAAGAAGUCCGUCAAAAAGCCUUGAAUACCAGUUUAAGGAGUCUCUAUUCUUCCCUACAACAGUGAGUAGGAAAAUGGACUGAAUUAACAAGCCUUCUUAAUGAAGGUCAAGGCUACGCUAGGACUGAAACCAUUUAGAACACAGAGAACCAAUGACAUCCCAGGUUGCUAUCUUGAUUCUCAGUGGAUUGGAUUUAAGUGUGGCAGAGUUGCACCAAAUUCUCAGCUUCACUCACUCUUCAAGUCUUCAAGAAGUUCAGUGACAGGACAAAAGUCACAAUGGCUGGCAAUGGAAGCAAAUGCGGUGGAUGGCCUCGGCAUCUGUGAUAUAUGACCAAGCUCUAAGCCCUCCACAGGGCCUGCUUUAGCCACCUUCAUGGCCACUGGAACAAAGUAUUCUCAACCACCCAUUCCUCCAGGGAAAGUCUUCAUAUUUGUGGAGCAGACACUCCCAAACUUACGGACAGGAUUGAGCCCUGUGGGCUACCCUUAACAUGGUCUAGCCUGUCUGCCAAGAUGGUUUUGCCAGGGUUGUGGCUGCUGGUCAUGCUUUAGCUUCUUGCAGUCACAAGUGAGAGCUGGGUCAGAGGUGGACCCCAAAGAAGCCCUCCCACCAGAGAUACCGGUCCUCCCUAGACACCCCAUACACCUCUCUACCUCUGUGAAGACUUAGACAUUUGCCUAGACUAGAACACUGAGAAGGUAUAUGAUUUGAUGGGUCACUCAGCACUUUACAUGGGCAGGACAUGAACUCAGAUCUUGAUUGAGGCUAAUUAUCUACUAUAUUGAGCUCCCUUUCUCAUAGGGGGAAAAAUAAAAAGGAGAAUCAGGGCCCA